GCUUCACCUUUUUAAAAACCAUACUUAUAACAAAUUUGCCAAGCAUUUCAAGGACAGCCCGUAAAGUAUACAGAUAAAAGCUGCUUCAUUUCACUAUGCACAGACAGAAUACAUAUACCAACUUACCAAGUCCAACUUAAACAUGGAGAAAUAUGCACCAAAGCGACCAAUCAAAAGAACUCAAGACAGUGCAAUUAAUAUCACAUUUUUAUAUCCAUGUUUGUUACAAAUGAUGCCCAAUUCCAAGUUCAAACUUCGAACAUUAACAUGACAGAUUUCAAACACUGCACAGAUUCGCACAAACUUUCAGAUCACAAUCUUCUGAAGUGAAAGUAUAGCCCAAAAAGCAUAGCCGCUCAGGAUUUUCCAACUUGAAAGUACAUGCAGAACAUUCUAUGAACUUUGGAGAUUUAAGAAAAA
RNAcentral lists this unclassified non-coding RNA (420 nucleotides) under Hevea brasiliensis (rubber tree). Lineage: Eukaryota; Viridiplantae; Streptophyta; Magnoliopsida; Malpighiales; Euphorbiaceae. The record is from RNAcentral.